RNAcentral lists this ribosomal RNA (252 nucleotides) under uncultured prokaryote. RNAcentral's name for it is "partial 16S ribosomal RNA". It matches the Rfam family "Bacterial small subunit ribosomal RNA", at positions 525 to 775 of the family's 1533-position model. The record is from RNAcentral.
ACGGGCGGGGCGAGCGUUGUUCGGAUUCAUUGGGUGUAAAGGGUGCGAAGGCGGUCGUCUAAGUCGAAGGUGAAAUGUCUACGGCUCAACCGAGGCAUUGCCUCCGAUACUGGACGACUUGAGUGCGGAAGGGGAGCGUGGAAUUCCUGGUGUAGCGGUGAAAUGCGUAGAGAUCCGGAGGAACACCAGUGGCGAAGGCGACGCGCUGGGCCUGUCCUGACGCUGAGACGCGAGAGCGUGGGGAGCAAACAG